This 576-nucleotide ribosomal RNA is filed under the name uncultured bacterium. RNAcentral's name for it is "bacterial SSU rRNA". It matches the Rfam family "Bacterial small subunit ribosomal RNA", at positions 338 to 916 of the family's 1533-position model. The record is from RNAcentral.
CCUACGGGAGGCAGCAGUGGGGAAUUUUCCGCAAUGGGCGAAAGCCUGACGGAGCAAGACCGCGUGGGGGAAGAAGGCUCUUGGGUUGUAAACCCCUUUUCUCUGGGAAGAAAGUUGUGAAAGCAACCUGACGGUACCAGAGGAAUCAGCAUCGGCUAACUCCGUGCCAGCAGCCGCGGUAAGACGGAGGAUGCAAGCGUUAUCCGGAAUGAUUGGGCGUAAAGCGUCCGCAGGUGGCAGUUCAAGUCUGCUGUCAAAGACCGGGGCUUAACUUCGGAAAGGCAGUGGAAACUGAACAGCUAGAGUAUGGUAGGGGCAGAGGGAAUUCCUGGCGUAGCGGUGAAAUGCGUAGAGAUCAGGAAGAACAUCGGUGGCGAAGGCGCUCUGCUGGACCAUAACUGACACUCAGGGACGAAAGCUAGGGGAGCGAAUGAGAUUAGAUACCCCAGUAGUCCUAGCCGUAAACGAUGGAUACUAGGUGUUGGACGUAUCGACCCGUGCAGUACCGUAGCUAACGCGUUAAGUAUCCCGCCUGGGGAGUACGCACGCAAGUGUGAAACUCAAAGGAAUUGACGG